CUUGUUAUCAGAAGACCUGCAA
This 22-nucleotide non-coding RNA is filed under the name Arabidopsis thaliana (thale cress). Lineage: Eukaryota; Viridiplantae; Streptophyta; Magnoliopsida; Brassicales; Brassicaceae. The record is from RNAcentral.